GGUAAACAUAAGUUGCACAACACACACACACACAGUGAGUAGUAGGAGAAAUAGUUGUGGGUGGAGCUAACGCUCUCGUCUGCAAUACUCCAUAAAAUAAUUACCAACACCAAUGAAGAAAAUGGGAGCGCUGGUGUUGCCUCUAGUCUUGCCAUAUCUACGAAUAGUUGGCCAGCAAAGGAUGGCCAGAAAGGGACACCAGCAGAGGUGCAGGAAACCAGAAGACAGGCAUUACAAUUGCCGCGCAACGAGAGCGCCAAGGAAGG
RNAcentral lists this long non-coding RNA (266 nucleotides) under Drosophila guanche. The record is from RNAcentral. Lineage: Eukaryota; Metazoa; Arthropoda; Insecta; Diptera; Drosophilidae.